GGUUCUUUCAACAAUUUAAUGAAAACUUUUUGUUUUUUUAGGCCUACUGAAGCAUCCCAAUGCCGUUUUAUUCAAAAAACCCAAUGCUGAAUUGACUGAGUGACGAUUGAACAAAGUUAUUGAACCAAUGCCGAUUUUAUUGGCGAUUGCGUUAUGACAAAUCAGAACAAUAUUCCAGCGCAUUUUUUAAAAACCUGUAAGGUAUGGAGAGAAUUUCUGGCCAUAAAACAACACAAUAUCUACAUAUGGAGAUAAAUUGUCAUCUAAAGCAGACAUAAAAGGUUCAAUAUUCAGCCUGCCUUUUUUAUUUUGAAGGCAUUGAAGAACAGACACCCUGACCCCAAGCUUGCUUCAAAAUAUACUCCAUCCAUGCCUUAAGAUGAGAAGUUUUCAAAUCAUUUGACCAUGAUCCAAGGGUCUGAUGAAAUUUCUUAAGUGCUCAAGAAGCAAUGCAGUCACUGUCAGGGAAAUGAACCCAGAAUUUUAUAAAAAUUGAAAAAUAAAUGCAGGAUUAAUGCUUAUAAUUUUGUGUUUUUGAUUUCUUAUUGUAAAUUUAAGGCAUUUAAGGACAAGUUUGA
Long non-coding RNA from Saccostrea cuccullata (small rock oyster), 578 nucleotides. RefSeq lists it as uncharacterized. The record is from RefSeq and is a predicted model, not a curated record. The transcript has 5 exons. NCBI's taxonomy places the organism in Eukaryota, Metazoa, Mollusca, Bivalvia, Ostreida, Ostreidae.